Long non-coding RNA from Schistocerca gregaria, 585 nucleotides. RefSeq lists it as uncharacterized. The record is from RefSeq and is a predicted model, not a curated record. The transcript is spliced from 2 exons. Lineage: Eukaryota; Metazoa; Arthropoda; Insecta; Orthoptera; Acrididae.
ACAAAAAAUAUUUUAACCAUAUGGUCCUUUCGUACUAAUAUGGAUUAAUAAUCUUAGGAUAGAAACCGACCUGGCUCACGCCGGUCUGAACUCAGAUCAUGUAAGAAUUUUAAGGUCGAACAGACCUAAUCAUUGGGCUCCUGCACCCAAAAUUUUUCUUAAUCCAACAUCGAGGUCGCAAUCUGCUUUGUCGAUAUGAGCUCUCAAAAACAAUUACGCUGUUAUCCCUAAGGUAACUUAAUCUUAUGAUCAUAAAUUAUGGUUCAAAAUAACAAACAUAAGUAAUUGAUAUAAUAAUGAAGAGUUUAUCUAUUCUUCAUGUCACCCCAACAAAACAUCAUCAUUAAAUAUAGAAAGACAAACAAAAAACUAUAUAAAAGUAAAAUGUCAAGCUCUAUAGGGUCUUCUCGUCCUAAAGAAGAAUUUAAGCCUUUUGACUCAAAAGUUAAAUUCAAAAAUUUAUUAAGAGACAGUUGAUUUCUCGUCAAGCCAUUCAUUCCAGCCACUAAUUAAGAGACUAAUGAUUAUGCUACCUUUGCACGGUCAAAAUACCGCGGCUCUUUAAAAAUACGCUCAGUGAGCAGG